UCGGGAAUUUUGUGCAAUGGGCGAAAGCCUGACACAGCAACGCCGCGUGAAGGAUGAAGUCCCUCGGGAUGUAAACUUCGUAAGAAUAGGAAGAAUAAAUGACGGUACUAUUUGUAAGGUCCGGCUAACUACGUGCCAGCAGCCGCGGUAAUACGUAGGGACCAAGCGUUGUUCGGAUUUACUGGGCGUAAAGGGUGCGUAGGCGGCAUAUCAAGUCACUUGUGAAAUCUCCGAGCUUAACUCGGAACGGUCAAGUGAUACUGCUGUGCUAGAGUACAGAAGGGGCAAUCGGAAUUCUUGGUGUAGCGGUGAAAUGCGUAGAUAUCAAGAGGAACACCUGAGGUGAAGACGGGUUGCUGGGCUGAUACUGACGCUGAGGCGCGAAAGCUAGGGUAGCAAACGGGAUUAGAUACCCAAGUAGUCCCUGAGCGGGCUGGCAAGGCGCAU
Molecule: ribosomal RNA, 447 nt
Filed under: uncultured bacterium
Lineage: Bacteria
Description: bacterial SSU rRNA
Rfam family: Bacterial small subunit ribosomal RNA
Source: RNAcentral